GCCGAUGUAGCUCAGUCGGUAGAGCACUCCCAUGGUAAGGGAAAGGUCGUCGGUUCAAUUCCGACCAUCGGCUCCG
This 76-nucleotide transfer RNA is filed under the name Candidatus Giovannonibacteria bacterium RIFCSPLOWO2_01_FULL_46_13. Its description in RNAcentral is "tRNA-Thr". It matches the Rfam family "tRNA". From Rfam's summary of the family: Transfer RNA (tRNA) molecules are approximately 80 nucleotides in length. Their secondary structure includes four short double-helical elements and three loops (D, anti-codon, and T loops). The record is from RNAcentral. Lineage: Bacteria; Candidatus Giovannoniibacteriota.